RNAcentral lists this ribosomal RNA (492 nucleotides) under uncultured bacterium. RNAcentral describes it as "partial 16S ribosomal RNA". It matches the Rfam family "Bacterial small subunit ribosomal RNA", at positions 29 to 507 of the family's 1533-position model. The record is from RNAcentral.
AGUGAACGCUGGCGGUAGGCCUAACACAUGCAAGUCGAACGGCAGCACAGUAAGAGCUUGCUCUUACGGGUGGCGAGUGGCGGACGGGUGAGGAAUACAUCGAAAUCUACUUUUUCGUGGGGGAUAACGUAGGGAAACUUACGCUAAUACCGCAUACGACCUACGGGUGAAAGCAGGGGAUCUUCGGACCUUGCGCGAUUGAUUGAGCCGAUGUCGGAUUAGCUAGUUGGCGGGGUAAAGGCCCACCAAGGCGACGAUCCGUAGCUGGUCUGAGAGGAUGAUCAGCCACACUGGAACUGAGACACGGUCCAGACUCCUACGGGAGGCAGCAGUGGGGAAUAUUGGACAAUGGGCGCAAGCCUGAUCCAGCCAUACCGCGUGGGUGAAGAAGGCCUUCGGGUUGUAAAGCCCUUUUGUUGGGAAAGAAAGGCAGCAGGUUAAUACCCCGCUGUUCUGACGGUACCCAAAGAAUAAGCACCGGCUAACUUCGUG